GACGAACCGUGCAAACGUUAUUCGGAAUCACUGGGCUUAAAGGGCGCGUAGGCGGGCCGCCAGGUCCGGGGUGAAAGCCUCCAGCUCAACUGGAGAAGUACCUUGGAUACCGGCGGCCUCGAGGGAGGUAGGGGCGUGCGGAACUUCGGGUGGAGCGGUGAAAUGCGUAGAUAUCCGAAGGAACACCGGUGGCGAAAGCGGCGCGCUGGAUCUCUUCUGACGCUGAGGCGCGAAAGCCAGGGAAGCAAACAGG
This 253-nucleotide ribosomal RNA is filed under the name uncultured bacterium. Its description in RNAcentral is "partial 16S ribosomal RNA". It matches the Rfam family "Bacterial small subunit ribosomal RNA", at positions 524 to 776 of the family's 1533-position model. The record is from RNAcentral.